UUUAUGGAGAGUUUGAUCCUGGCUCAGAGUGAACGCUGGCGGCGUGCCUAAUACAUGCAAGUCGAACGAUGAAGCUUCUAGCUUGCUAGAAGUGGAUU
RNAcentral lists this ribosomal RNA (98 nucleotides) under Campylobacter coli. RNAcentral describes it as "partial 16S ribosomal RNA". It matches the Rfam family "Bacterial small subunit ribosomal RNA", at positions 1 to 93 of the family's 1533-position model. RNAcentral also lists the same sequence under 1 other name. The record is from RNAcentral. Lineage: Bacteria; Pseudomonadati; Campylobacterota; Epsilonproteobacteria; Campylobacterales; Campylobacteraceae.